CUCUGUUUCCGGUGGGGGAAUAAUAACAAUAUGACUGUUUUUGUAUCUGAAAUUGGACAGGUAAGAUGGUACCGUUCGAGAAGAGCUCGUCAGCGGAUGAAAGCUCUUGCUGGAAAUUGGUUCCGCCGGCGCCGAUGAAGAAAUCGAAAUCUGAGUCCAAAAGACAGGAAUCUAAUCUGGGGCACUCCUCCGAAAUUUCCGGUGUUUGGUUGUUGUUGGUAUUAAGGUCAUGGGAGAAGGAAAUCCGAGGGCUAAUAAUACCUGGACUUGGAAUCUCUGAACAGACAUCCACCGCCAUGACUUUGCAUCAAUGGAAGGAGAGUAUAUGAUAGCUCAGAGGUGAAAUGAGAAAAAAAACAGAGGAAUGUUCAAUAUAUAUAUGGAGGUUGAGAAGUAGAAACUGCAGAGUGAUUCAAAGGGGAGGGGAAGUCAGAAAUUGCAGCUUUG
Molecule: long non-coding RNA, 447 nt
Filed under: Linum usitatissimum (flax)
Lineage: Eukaryota; Viridiplantae; Streptophyta; Magnoliopsida; Malpighiales; Linaceae
Description: long non-coding RNA (LUSI_LNC001604)
Source: RNAcentral